RNAcentral lists this ribosomal RNA (468 nucleotides) under uncultured bacterium. Its description in RNAcentral is "partial 16S ribosomal RNA". It matches the Rfam family "Bacterial small subunit ribosomal RNA", at positions 28 to 507 of the family's 1533-position model. The record is from RNAcentral.
GACGAACGCUGGCGGCGUGCUUAACACAUGCAAGUCGAACGGAAAGGCCCUGCUUUUGUGGGGUGCUCGAGUGGCGAACGGGUGAGUAACACGUGAGUAACCUGCCCUUGACUUUGGGAUAACUUCAGGAAACUGGGGCUAAUACCGGAUAGGAGCUCCUGCUGCAUGGUGGGGGUUGGAAAGUUUCGGCGGUUGGGGAUGGACUCGCGGCUUAUCAGCUUGUUGGUGGGGUAGUGGCUUACCAAGGCUUUGACGGGUAGCCGGCCUGAGAGGGUGACCGGCCACAUUGGGACUGAGAUACGGCCCAGACUCCUACGGGAGGCAGCAGUGGGGAAUAUUGCGCAAUGGGCGGAAGCCUUAUGCAGCAACGCCGCGUGCGGGAUGACGGCCUUCGGGUUGUAAACCGCUUUCGCCUGGGACGAAGCGUGAGUGACGGUAAUGGGUAAAGAAGCACCGGCUAACUACGUG